GUGCUUGCUUAAGCAGCACAUAUAUUAAAAAUGGGAGAUACAGAGAUUAGCAUGGCUUUUGUGCAAGGAUGACAGGCAAAUUCAUGAAGCGUUCCAUAUUUUU
This is a small nuclear RNA of Pipistrellus kuhlii (Kuhl's pipistrelle), 103 nucleotides long. The record is from RefSeq and is a predicted model, not a curated record. Lineage: Eukaryota; Metazoa; Chordata; Mammalia; Chiroptera; Vespertilionidae.